CUGAAUGUAACCAAUGGAUUCUGAUUUUGUUGACUGUCACUGCCACAUGUCAGCCCACCAAUUUACAAAGGAUUAAGAUUAUGUGAUCAAGAGGACUAUCGAGGCUUGAGAGCAGAAUGUAAUCUCAGUUACAGAGGAGGCCAGCGAGUUUGAGAGGGUUAUCCAUCUGUCCAAAGAGUCUGUCUGACAGUCAAUUGCAAGACCGACAAUAUUGUGAUUUAUGAUACCCUGACCUGGUGGCCCCAUCUGUUGGAGUCCAUCCUAUCCAGGGCUGGGGGACCACAGAACAGCGUAGAACCACAGUCCAGGAUCUGGAGCCUGCAAUGCCACUGUUCUACACAUACAGAGAUGAGUAUUGUAGCCAUGGGGGAGGUAAGCCUGUGUGAG
Molecule: long non-coding RNA, 387 nt
Organism: Hypomesus transpacificus
Lineage: Eukaryota; Metazoa; Chordata; Actinopteri; Osmeriformes; Osmeridae
Exons: 5
Source: RefSeq, a predicted model, not a curated record